Molecule: ribosomal RNA, 468 nt
Filed under: uncultured bacterium
Lineage: Bacteria
Description: partial 16S ribosomal RNA
Rfam family: Bacterial small subunit ribosomal RNA
Source: RNAcentral
GACGAACGCUGGCGGCGUGCUUAACACAUGCAAGUCGAACGGAAAGGCCCUGCUUUUGUGGGGUGCUCGAGUGGCGAACGGGUGAGUAACACGUGAGUAACCUGCCCUUGACUUUGGGAUAACUUCAGGAAACUGGGGCUAAUACCGGAUAGGAGCUCCUGCUGCAUGGUGGGGGUUGGAAAGUUUCGGCGGUUGGGGAUGGACUCGCGGCUUAUCAGCUUGUUGGUGGGGUAGUGGCUUACCAAGGCUUUCACGGGUAGCCGGCCUGAGAGGGUGACCGGCCACAUUGGGACUGAGAUACGGCCCAGACUCCUACGGGAGGCAGCAGUGGGGAAUAUUGCACAAUGGGCGGAAGCCUGAUGCAGCAACGCCGCGUGCGGGAUGACGGCCUUCGGGUUGUAAACCGCUUUCGCCUGUGACGAAGCGUGAGUGACGGUAAUGGGUAAAGAAGCACCGGCUAACUACGUG